This 807-nucleotide long non-coding RNA is filed under the name Serinus canaria (Common canary). Its description in RNAcentral is "lncRNA (ENSSCAG00000011868.1)". Lineage: Eukaryota; Metazoa; Chordata; Aves; Passeriformes; Fringillidae. The record is from RNAcentral.
AGGGAAUCUGAUUCAUUUUACUCUCACUCCUAAUGCAUCUGGCGGUAGACUUGCCUCAAGAACCAAAUGAAUCUUGAGCUGCUAUUACAUAUUGGAUCCCCCAUAUGAUUUGAAUUCACAUCCCUCAGGGAGGGGAGACUCUGUGGAUAACACCUUCCCUCAGUAUCACAUGCAUCCCUCCUUGUCUCCAAUGACAUUUGUGCUGGCUGGUGGGUGCCUGUCACUGCCUGCAAUGACCCAUGCUGGUGAAGGGAAAUCCACUCCCUCAUCCACCCGUGUUUUACAGGAUCUCUUGACCUGAGUCCAAGUGACUGCUGUCCAUCCAGGCCUUCUCCUGAUUUCUCUGGGGCUUGGAUGGGCCUUGCUUGGCAUCAGGAUUUGGUGCUGACCUCAGUCUCCAUCUCAUCACCCAGAACCCAGGAGCUGAGAACAGAAGUCCCCAAGCAACACAAGGAAAGAAUUCAGGUAUAAGCUGUCUGGGACAGGUCUCAAUAAGUGUUUUGAGAUAACUUCUAGUUUAAAAGACAUGGCUUCAAAAUCCAAACAAAGGGGAGAUGUCUUGGCACAGUAUCCCAGUAUGUGUUUGAAGAGCAUCACACACCAUGAAACUGAAGGCUUUGGGCAGUGCUGCUGAUUGAAUAAUGCUAAAAUACAAAAUGGAACUGUGAUUGAAUUUGAAAUUUGACCAUAUUUGUUGUCCUCUCAACGUUGUCAGUACACAUUACUGCUUCAUUUUUGCCCAGGAAAAUGGGAAAUACAGACCUUGAAGGUGUAACCUUCUGCCUGGCCCUGCUUCAGGUCAACUUC